Lycium ferocissimum is the source of this 451-nucleotide long non-coding RNA. RefSeq lists it as uncharacterized. The transcript is spliced from 5 exons. The record is from RefSeq and is a predicted model, not a curated record. NCBI's taxonomy places the organism in Eukaryota, Viridiplantae, Streptophyta, Magnoliopsida, Solanales, Solanaceae.
AUACUCGCCGUUUCCUCUCUCAUCAAUAUUUACACGAUUAGCUCUACCUUAAUUGUGUAUCCCCACAAAUAUAUAGGAUUUUUGGAAGAAACUUCAUUUAUAGAUUUUAAUGGAUGGAGGAAAAACUCCAAUCAGGGUUACUCGAGGGUGUUGCAACCAUGUGAUCUGGUGAGAUGCCAGAUAUAGGAGUGACCUAUGGCAAUGAGAGCGUAGGAUACACUAAAGGCUUCAACUGAAGAGAUUCAAGAUGGAGGUGAUAUCUCCGCAGAACAUAGGCAAUCAGAGAAGGUCGGAGUUCAGCACCCUGCUGAUACAACUAUCAAUGUGCCUGAUGUUGUAUAUGAGGCUACAACUGGCAUACAAAAGGAUGAAGAUGUCAACUCCAUAGAGGGAAUGGUAGCAAAGGUUCUAUCAGAGAUACCUCUCGCAGUAGAGUUUCCACAAGAUGUUG